AUGGUACUCCCGCCAGCAGAACCAGCCGGCACGAAGAAACAAGCUGAACGCAAGAAGGAAAACAAACGACAAAGGGUAGAAAAAGAACAAGACGAUACCAAUAGCAAAGGUUCAGAUACCAAUGAUGACGACGAUGACAGACAGCAUGAUGCAGAUCUCAUUCCUACAGACGGUGAUGAUCCCGAAGAGCACGAUAGCGACGCGGAACAUGACAACGAUCCCAAAUCAGGCAAGAAGGAUAGAAAGAGAAGAAAGACAAGCGGAAAAGAAUUGGCAGCACCAAUAGUUGACGAAGAACAGCAAGAAACAAACGGAGAGAAAUGCCAAAUCAAGGCAGGGGCAGCAUUCGCUCAUGUCAAGAAAGCAUGGAAUUUACUUAAAGACCAUCACAAGAAAGAUAUUAGGACGGCAAGAUUUGGCAGCAUAGAGAACUGCAAAAUAACGGGCUCCAUCUGCAGACCGCUUGCAGCACACAUCUACGACAACCUCGACACAGAAACCAUGACAAUAACCUUCGGUGAUGCUACUGAAGACAAAAAAAUCAAGAUUACCAAGGAAGCUACCCACAAGGUGUUUGGAUACCCAAACAGCACGCAAAGCGCCGCUAUCUUCGCCCGGACAGCUAUAAUGGUCAAGGACAUGGACUAUCUAGAAAUGGCAAAGAUGGAUUUCUGCGAGGUAAUCGUCGAAUGUAUUAGGGAAGGAGCCAAGACAUGGCAGAAGCACGGGACGUUGUCUCAGGAAGAAAAGAACAAAAAGCACGUCAAUGGUUUGGCACAGGUACCAGUAAUCAUGUACCUUGACUCCCUGCUGCUGCCAACCGACACAAAAGAAAUGCGGAAGAUUGCAAAGACAAUGGACAAAACCUCAUUACCACGAGCAAACCAUCUCAAAGAGAGUGACCUAGCGAAAAUAGCUAGAGCAGACAUGAAAACGGACGGAAAAGCACGACCAGAUGACUAUGAAUUUGGCAAGAUACAGGAGAACAUCGUAAAGAACAGCAACACCAGCACACAACCAAACUGCUACCACCUCCACCCAAGCGUCGGUGCGAACCACUACAUAGUUUGCACAAGGUACCUCACAGACAAUGCGACCCUGCAGACGCUAGAGCAAGCAGAUCGAGCAGCAUCAAGUAGACUGGUCGAUGCCAACCACAGGAAUGAAAUCGUAGACACAACAGAACAAAGAGAAAGGAGAAAAGGUAAGAAAGAAGAAGAGGACGAAUAG
RNAcentral lists this ribosomal RNA (1230 nucleotides) under Triticum aestivum (bread wheat). RNAcentral describes it as "partial small subunit ribosomal RNA". Lineage: Eukaryota; Viridiplantae; Streptophyta; Magnoliopsida; Poales; Poaceae. The record is from RNAcentral.